CCUACGGGGGGCUGCAGUGAGGAAUAUUGGUCAAUGGGCGAGAGCCUGAACCAGCCAAGUCGCGUGAGGGAAGACGGCCCUACGGAUUGUAAACCUCUUUUGCCGGGGAGCAAAAAGCGGUACGUGUACCGCAUCGUGAGUACCCGGUGAAAAAGCAUCGGCUAACUCCGUGCCAGCAGCCGCGGUAAUACGGAGGAUGCGAGCGUUAUCCGGAUUUAUUGGGUUUAAAGGGGGCGGAGGUGGGUGGUUAAGUCAGCGGUGAAAGUUUGGGGCUCAAACCCGAAAAGGCAGUUGAAACUGGCAUGCUAGAGUGCGCGAGAGGUAUGCGGAAUGCGUGGUGUAGCGGUGAAAUGCAUAGAUAUCACGCAGAACUCCGAUUGCGAAGGCAGCAUACCGACGCCCAACUGACGCUCAGGCACGAAAGUGUGGGUAUCGAACAGGAUUAGAUACCCGAGUAGUC
Molecule: ribosomal RNA, 460 nt
Filed under: uncultured bacterium
Lineage: Bacteria
Description: partial 16S ribosomal RNA
Rfam family: Bacterial small subunit ribosomal RNA
Source: RNAcentral